This 814-nucleotide long non-coding RNA is filed under the name Monodelphis domestica (gray short-tailed opossum). RNAcentral's name for it is "lncRNA (ENSMODG00000033956.2)". The record is from RNAcentral. Lineage: Eukaryota; Metazoa; Chordata; Mammalia; Didelphimorphia; Didelphidae.
AGUUUGUGUUUUCCUAUCUAUUCUCAACAUCUCUCUUCUCCUAAAGGCAGAACAGCAGUAGAUGGAAGGAACUUCCUGGAGGGGUGUCUUAUCUCUCACAAAGGACUGGAGACUCCUGCACAAGAGGGGCCUCAACUGCUUUUGUUUCACAACGUCCCCAUCCUUCCACAAAGACUCAAUGAUGGACUGACUAAAAAGCAUUCGGACCCAGGACACUUCUAUCUCUCCAGUACCCUCCUCCCAGAAGAGAGGAAGUACACAAGGUCCUUACUAGGGUUUUCUGCCCUCAUCUGCAAUCAUGUUGAUGUUCAUGAACUCCAGACAUUCUUUAGUAUAAAAGAAAUUGAGUGCCCAGGCAGAAGUGGGGGGGGGGGGGCUGAUGAGUCCUUUCCUCUCCUCCCCAUUACAGUUUUCACACCUGGAAGAAGGAUUCAGGCUGAAGUAAUAACUUCAAGGUGGGGGUUGGUUGGGGGAGGAGGGGGCACACACAUUUAGGGCAGCUGGGAUUCCUCUCACUAGCUGCAGUCCAGUUGCUCCCAGAGGUGGAGCCCCCAAAGCUUAUGUCCCUCCGAGGGUGUCCAGGCUCCAGUCCCCCUUCUCUCCUUUUCACUGUGGCCUCCCAAGCAUCUUUGCGCUGCCCCCAUGACCCCCAGCCGGCUUCACGCCUGGCUGCCUGGAAUCUGUAGCCGCCCUUGUUUUCUGGCCCAGGAAGGGGAUUUAAUGCUGGUGAGAGAUGGCAGGUUGACAGGCGCAGAGAUUAAAGCCCGAGGCUCUGGCCGAGAAGCAGGGUUGGCCUCCACAGAACCCCUGCCCC